GAUGAACGCUGGCGGCGUGCCUAAUACAUGCAAGUCGAGCGAACAGACGAGGAGCUUGCUCCUCUGACGUUAGCGGCGGACGGGUGAGUAACACGUGGAUAACCUACCUAUCAGACUGGGAUCACUUCGGGAAACCGGAGCUAAUACCGGAUAAUAUAUUGAACCGCAUGGUUCAAUAGUGAAAGACGGUUUUGCUGUCACUUAUAGAUGGAUCCGCGCCGCAUUAGCUAGUUGGUAAGGUAACGGCUUACCAAGGCGACGAUGCGUAGCCGACCUGAGAGGGUGAUCGGCCGCACUGGAACUGAGACACGGUCCAGGCUCCUACGGGAGGCAGCAGUAGGGAAUCUUCCGCAAUGGGCGAAAGCCUGACGGAGCAACGCCGCGUGAGUGAUGAAGGUCUUCGGAUCGUAAAACUCUGUUAUUAGGGAAGAACAAAUGUGUAAGUAACUAUGCACGUCUUGACGGUACCUAAUCAGAAAGCCACGGCUAACUACGUG
Molecule: ribosomal RNA, 497 nt
Filed under: uncultured bacterium
Lineage: Bacteria
Description: partial 16S ribosomal RNA
Rfam family: Bacterial small subunit ribosomal RNA
Source: RNAcentral